This 80-nucleotide ribosomal RNA is filed under the name Bacillus cereus. Its description in RNAcentral is "partial 16S ribosomal RNA". It matches the Rfam family "Bacterial small subunit ribosomal RNA", at positions 1 to 78 of the family's 1533-position model. Lineage: Bacteria; Bacillati; Bacillota; Bacilli; Caryophanales; Bacillaceae. The record is from RNAcentral.
CUUUAUUGGAGAGUUUGAUCCUGGCUCAGGAUGAACGCUGGCGGCGUGCCUAAUACAUGCAAGUCGAGCGAAUGGAUUGA